CUUAGUGGCGGACGGGUGAGUAACGCGUGGGUAACCUGCCUCACACUGGGGGAGUAACAGUUAGAAAUAGCUGCUAAUACCGCAUAAGCGCACAGUUCCGCAUGGAACAGUGUGAAAAACUCCGGUGGUGUGAGAUGGACCCGCGUCUGAUUAGCCAGUUGGCGGGGUAACGGCCCACCAAAGCGACGAUCAGUAGCCGGCCUGAGAGGGUGAACGGCCACAUUGGGACUGAGACACGGCCCAAACUCCUACGGGAGGCAGCAUG
This 265-nucleotide ribosomal RNA is filed under the name uncultured bacterium. RNAcentral's name for it is "partial 16S ribosomal RNA". It matches the Rfam family "Bacterial small subunit ribosomal RNA", at positions 91 to 353 of the family's 1533-position model. The record is from RNAcentral.